Molecule: long non-coding RNA, 773 nt
Organism: Cyprinus carpio (common carp)
Lineage: Eukaryota; Metazoa; Chordata; Actinopteri; Cypriniformes; Cyprinidae
Exons: 3
Source: RefSeq, a predicted model, not a curated record
CUAAAGACGGUACCACCCACUAUACCCAGCACAAGCACUCUACAGACUUGGCACAGGCCCAGGACUCGGGGAAUCCAUCCUGAAGCAGUGGAUCGAUUACUUGUAGAGGAAGCCAAAACCCUCUAGCAGAAGUGGUAUUAAGUCCACUCUUUGCAGGGCCUACACAGGUCCCCUUCCCAAUAAUUUGCUGCUCUCUUCUGUGGAGUCUUUAGGCCUCAGCCACUGAUCUGCAUGGCUUGUCGGAGUUGAAUCUGAUGGAGUCUAAGUUUGGCCUAGUACCCAAAGGUUCUUUGCUGUCCUAUCAGUGCCCUGCUGAGUCAUCAAUGGAUGCUGUCAAACAUGCAGAAGCCCCUGCUUUCCCUACGCUUCCUCUGGAUGGGUAUACAUUUGAAGGAAGAUUUAAAUUUGUCCCGAAUUUCCAUGAUAUGUUGUUCUUAGAAAGCUUGGCAGUCACUCAAGAACUAAGCACAAUAAUUGAAAAAGACACACGGCACCAGUCACAGUCUGCUCUGUGGAACCAAAUGCGUACACCACGCUUUUACAUGCUUUUUACAGUAGAUUCUGUGAGGUGUGUCAUGUCAGAGGAGAGUCGACCAGCCAGGCACUAGCUGUCCGAAUCAUCAAAGGGGUUCGUCAGACUUCUGCAAUGAAGCGUGGACUGGAUCUUGAGCCUGAAGUGCUAUUUCAGUACUCUGGUAUGAUGAAUGUCAGUUUUUUACAGUGUGGGUUUGUUGUACAUCCUGAUGCGCCACACCUUGGCACAAGCCCUGAUG